GGUAGUAGCAAAUAUUCGAGCGAGAACCUCGAAGGCCGAAGUGGAGAAGGGUUCCGCGUUGCUCCUUCGAUCGGCCGCGGGUUAGUCGGUCCUAAGGCCUGGGAGAAAUCCUACGGGAAGCGGGACGUUUUUGAAAAUCAUUAAAAAUCAGUCUCACCCAAUGCACGGGCCGAAAGGGAAACGGGUUAGGAUUCCCGUACCCGAAGGCGGAGCACAAGCGGCGACGCANAGAAGGUCGGAUACACCGUCGGGAGAGUCGAGAAGAGUUAACUUUUCUUUUUGAGGUGCGCUCGCUGACCCUGGAAGCGGUUCUGCCGGAGAUAGGGAGCGAGAGCAAUCAACUUUAUCCGCAAAGCCGGCUCCAGCGGGGGCCUGUUCGGCUACGACUCGACGGUCCUUGAAACUCCGACGGCUAAACUCUUUCUUUUUUUAUUUUGAAAUAAUGUGUUCGCUCUCGCCUCGGGCCGUACCUCAAUCCGCCGCAGGUCUCCAAGGUUCGCAGCCUCUGGUC
RNAcentral lists this non-coding RNA (511 nucleotides) under Lottia gigantea (owl limpet). Its description in RNAcentral is "Eukaryotic large subunit ribosomal RNA". It matches the Rfam family "Eukaryotic large subunit ribosomal RNA", at positions 1456 to 1888 of the family's 3401-position model. The record is from Rfam by way of RNAcentral. Lineage: Eukaryota; Metazoa; Mollusca; Gastropoda; Lottiidae.